CCUACGGGUGGCAGCAGUGAGGAAUAUUGGUCAAUGGGCGGAAGCCUGAACCAGCCAAGUCGCGUGAGGGAUUAAGGCCCUGCGGGUCGUAAACCUCUUUUGCCGGGGAGCAGAGGUCCGGACGUGUCCGGGCCGGGAGAGUACCCGGAGAAAAAGCAUCGGCUAACUCCGUGCCAGCAGCCGCGGUAAUACGGAGGAUCCGAGCGUUAUCCGGAUUUAUUGGGUUUAAAGGGAGCGUAGAUGGGUUGUUAAGUCAGUUGUGAAAGUUUGCGGCUCAACCGUAAAAUUGCAAUUGAUACUGGCAGUCUUGAGUACAGUUGAGGUAGGCGGAAUUCGUGGUGUAGCGGUGAAAUGCUUAGAUAUCACGAAGAACCCCGAUUGCGAAGGCAGCUUACUAAACUGUGACUGACAUUGAUGCUCGAAAGUGUGGGUAUCAAACAGGAUUAGAUACCCGUGUAGUC
Molecule: ribosomal RNA, 461 nt
Filed under: uncultured bacterium
Lineage: Bacteria
Description: partial 16S ribosomal RNA
Rfam family: Bacterial small subunit ribosomal RNA
Source: RNAcentral